This 966-nucleotide long non-coding RNA is filed under the name Struthio camelus australis. Its description in RNAcentral is "lncRNA (ENSSCUG00000008794.1)". Lineage: Eukaryota; Metazoa; Chordata; Aves; Struthioniformes; Struthionidae. The record is from RNAcentral.
UUGAGCAGUGUUAGAGUAGCGUUUAGAUUUACAGUCCAGUUUCCUGAUUUUUUUCUUCUCUCUUUUCAUUUUUUCCGUUUUUUUUCUUUCAGAAGCUUUAAAAAGCACUUUUGCAGUUUAGGAGAUGAGGAGCUACUUUCACUCCAGCUCAGUUUUGCUCCAGGUACUGAGUCAUUAGUUGUGGCAAAGUUUCCAUUUUUGGUGAGACUUGUGCUCCCACAACAGUCGGACAGUCUCUUAUCCAGGAUAUCUUGAAAACAUGAGCUAGGAUAAAGCUGAUGAACUGCAGCAUAGCUCCAUUAAAGCCCAUAGGAUAUUCCAGCUGACAGCAUCUGGGCUUUGGGUUAUUUUGUAGACAAGGUUUGUGCAAGCGUUUCCCUAAGUUGUCUUGUGAGUAUACUGUGUUUUGGAUUGACCUGUUUGGUGCAAACCUCUGAAUCACGGUUUCCCUUUCUGCAGGUGAAGGCGUUGUGUGAUCCAGCCGAGGCAGCACAGAGUGCACGGCUGGAUCCCGUCACGGCAGGAGCGCCUCUCCCUCGUGAUGCUCUAGCAGCCAUUUUACCACAGCUGAGGCCUGCAAGCGUUUCAAAAUGCCAGAAGUACUGUUGUUUUCCUUCUGUGUCUCAGAUAAAGAGACAGAAAUCAGCUCUUGGGACUUCAUGCAGAGAUUGCACCUGGGGCAGUUGCAAAGGAGGAGGCCGCAUAACUGUUCAAAUGUCUCACAGAAGCCCGUCAUAUCCUAGCCGUUACUAACUGGGACGUUUCAUGCUUUCUUAUCCUCUUCAUAAAGGCACACCUGAGUACAGCCAGGCAUGAGGACUGCUGUAAAUAUUAGCUCCUUUGUUAGCUGAAUGCUUCCUCUCUCAUCGCUGAAACAAGACAGCUAAAUUCAACAAUGAAAGCACUACUAAACCGCAGCUCUGGUUAUUAUCCCAACUCCUUAGUACGUCACUAUUUUGAAUAAAG